AACGAACGCUGGCGGCGCGCCUAAUACAUGCAAGUCGAGCGAGAAGACGUAGCAAUACGUUUGUAAAGCGGCGAACGGGUGAGGAAUACAUGGGUAACCUACCCUCGAGUGGGGAAUAACUAGCCGAAAGGUUAGCUAAUACCGCGUACGCUCCUUGGACUUCGGUUCAGGGAGGAAAGCGAUACCGUGGGUGUCGCGCUCUUGGUCGGGCUCAUGUCCUAUCAGCUUGUUGGUGAGGUAACGGCUCACCAAGGCUUCGACGGGUAGCUGGUCUGAGAGGACGAUCAGCCACACUGGCACUGCGACACGGGCCAGACUCCUACGGGAGGCAGCAGUAAGGAAUAUUGCGCAAUGGGCGAAAGCCUGACGCAGCGACGCCGCGUGGGGGAUGAAGGUCUUCGGAUUGUAAACCCCUUUCGGGAGGGAAGAUGGAACGAGCAAUCGUUCGGACGGUACCUCCAGAAGCAGCCACGGCUAACUUCGUGCCAGCCGCCGCUGUAAU
Molecule: ribosomal RNA, 502 nt
Filed under: uncultured bacterium
Lineage: Bacteria
Description: bacterial SSU rRNA
Rfam family: Bacterial small subunit ribosomal RNA
Source: RNAcentral